RNAcentral lists this long non-coding RNA (2633 nucleotides) under Lactuca sativa (garden lettuce). Its description in RNAcentral is "long non-coding RNA (LSAT_LNC008706)". The record is from RNAcentral. Lineage: Eukaryota; Viridiplantae; Streptophyta; Magnoliopsida; Asterales; Asteraceae.
CUCAUGUACAAUAAUAUUAAGCUUAUAAUUACAUCGCAUAUACAUGGUAUUACCGUAUCUGUUCGAUGUCACCUAAUCUUCUCUACACACAACACAACAGCCGCCAUGAGUAGGCAAAUCGAACCCCUCUUCUUUGCGUUUAGCGAACACCGAGUUCCAUCUAAAAAUGAUGACCCCUCAAACCCUUGAAUCGUCGUUGCUGCUUUAUAGCACCCAUUCCUUAUUCAAUGUUGCUGCUUCAAUAAAACCCUAGAUAUAUCACCACUAAUCGCAUCUUGAAGUGAACAAAGGUUAGUUAGAGCUCUCAUUUGAGCACUAAAAGGUUCAUAUUUUCUGAUGAUUAUGUUUAUUUUUUUCUAAGGGUUUAGAGGCUUAUGCUUUCUUUUAAUCUAUUAUUCCAUAACUCUCUUUUACUCCAUUGAUUGCAGGUCUUCAACAAGCAGUCGGUUCAUCUAGGUGAUGAAGAACACAAAAAACUGGAUCUGUAUGGGGCAUCUUAACUCUAUUGUCCUUUCUAUUGUCUGCUAUGAUAAAAUCUAGGUAAACUCUCUCUCUCUCUCUCUCUCUCUCUCUCUCUCUCAUAAAUCUUCUCUUUUAUUGCUCAAGGAAUUCCAAGGUAUACGUUUUUCUUACUUUAAACCCGACAAAUUCCUCUGCGAAGACCUAAUCACCAUAAACGAAAAUGGCUUCCUUUGAUUUCGCAGGUUUGAUAUUGUAUUUUUAUUCGAUGGAAUGAGUACUCAUAAUGGAUACCGAUUAUCCUAAUUUUGAUCUUAAAUAAAAAAAAUAGUUACCUAAUUCAUUCAUGUGCCGAUUUGGUUAAAGGAUAUGUUGGGUUUCAAUUAAUUUAUCCGAAAUUUAAAAUAUAUUAUGGUUUAGAUAUUUAAUUAAACAAUAAAAUAGAAUUUCAUUAGAUUAAAUGAUAUAUUAUUCAUUAAAUAGUUAGUGAUUAUGAGGUUGAUAGAUUAUAUUGAUGGUACUAAACAAGUGUUUGAUAAAAUGUCCGUGAACAGGGGAUGGUGAAAAGUUCACUCCUGCAAUGGGUUGGGAACUUAAUGUUGAUGAUGGUUUGAAGUUGCAGGGGCUCUUUUGGUGGAUAAAUAGCUCGAUUAAUUAGAAGUAGUUGGAAUUGCAUUCCUUUUUUGACAUCUUCUUUGAGAUCUAAAAUUGAUAUAUGUAAAACAUAUUGAAUUAUUAUAGUGAUUACUUUCUGUUAAUUUUUUUUACAGGAAAUGAUUGUGGUUCAUAGAAAAGGGACUUGCAGAUGUCUUUUGCGUUCUCUUUGUUGAGCGAAAUCCUUAAACUGAAAGUCCAAGUGAGGACGAAGGUAUACAUUUUUACUCCAAUUGUCAAGUUUAUAAGAAAUUACAUAUAUUUUUAUCAAAGUUCAUUUCUAUUAUUUCAUUGGAUAAGAGUUUCAUAAGGAGAUGGAAACCAAACUGAUCCUUUGCCUAUUUGUUGAAGGAAAAACAUCGGCAACUCACCAUCUCUCAAAAGUUGGUAUGUUUCACUUACCCUCUCCAUAAAAACAAAACUAACAUUACUUUCUUUCUUGGUAAUUACGAGUUCUUGAUUCUAAUUGCAUUUUAUUCUAUUUAUUGUUGUUAAUCCCCCAAAGCAACUUCAGAUUUUUGUUUCAAAAUCCUCCUUUCUUAGAAGGAUCAAAAAACGAAAUUGUUUCAGGAUCCUAAAGUUUCUUUGCAAUGUUAAAGUGGAUGAAUAAUGAUGUUUGAUUGGUUACUUCCUCUAUGCAGGUUUGUAUAUCUUGGAGGUAUUAUUUCGAUUUAAAGCCUUCAAUACAAGUUGUUAACAAAAGAAUUUGCACUCUCAUAUCAUAUAACUUAUCAACGACGACCAUCUAACGUGUCAGGCUAUUCACAUGUUUUUUCUUAUAUGUUCGUUCUUAGUUGGUACAUCAUGUUGAAAUAAAAGGAAAAAACAAUAAAUUAUUGAUUUUUAAUUUUUGUCAUAUGAUGUUUACCCAAUAGUCUUUCACAAGAAGAUGAAUUCAAUUUUAAUUCUCAAAGGAGCCUCAAUAAAAGUUAUUAAAAAUAAGUAUUUUAUAAUUGGAUCUCUAUUUAUCUCUCCAUAUUUGUAAAGAUUAAUGAAGUAUUGACAAGUUACUACAAUGGAGUAUGAAUCACUAAUUGCUAGGUCCAAUAAAAUAUUUGUUAAAUGAAAAUCCCUUUUGAUUGUUAUUGAGUAGUAAUUUGAUGUUAAUAAAUUAUCUUUUUUCUUUUGCUAAAUUUUUUCUUAUCAACAUAUUGUGCUCUUAAAAAUCAACUCAAUUGAGCAAUGGAGCAAGGUGGGACAGUGUAGAUGGAGUUUAAAACAAAGGCGGCACAUUCAUGUAUUGGAUUUCCAAAUUAUGUUAAUUUCUAAUUUGUAACAAUGUUCCUAUUUAGGUGUUUUGUAAUUAGGACCAAAUGUUAAUUGCGGUGCAUUUUUCUUUUGUUUAUUAUAGCCUCAAAUUUUUUGGAUUCAUUUAAAUUUUUUAACAUAAAUAUAUUAAUUCCUAUUUAGGUGUUCUGUAGAACCAAAUGGGAAUUGUAAUGUAUUUUUCUUUUGUUUAUUAUAGUCUCAAUUUUUUGGAUUCAUUUUAAUUUUAUAGCAUCGUAUUAUUGUUCGUUUUA